RNAcentral lists this ribosomal RNA (545 nucleotides) under Lactarius sp. HL-2018v. RNAcentral's name for it is "LSU rRNA". It matches the Rfam family "Eukaryotic large subunit ribosomal RNA", at positions 85 to 634 of the family's 3401-position model. The record is from RNAcentral. Lineage: Eukaryota; Fungi; Basidiomycota; Agaricomycetes; Russulales; Russulaceae.
AACUGCGAGUGAAGCGGGAAAAGCUCAAAUUUAAAAUCUGACGGUCCUUGGCUGUCCGAGUUGUAAUUUAGAGAAGCGUCUUCCGCGCUGGACCGUGCACAAGUCUCCUGGAAUGGAGCGUCGUAGAGGGUGAGAAUCCCGUCUUUGGCAUGGACACCCGGUGCUUCUGUGAUGCGCUCUCGAAGAGUCGAGUUGUUUGGGAAUGCAGCUCAAAAUGGGUGGUGAACUCCAUCUAAAGCUAAAUAUUGGCGAGAGACCGAUAGCGAACAAGUACCGUGAGGGAAAGAUGAAAAGCACUUUGGAAAGAGAGUGAAACAGUACGUGAAAUUGUUGAAAGGGAAACGCUUGAAGUCAGUCGCGUUGACCGAGACUCAGCCUUGCCUCGGCUUGGUGUACUUCUCGGCUUGACGGGUCAGCGUCGAUUUUGCCCCUCGGAUAAUGGCAAGGGAAAGGUGGCACCUUUGCGGGUGUGUUAUAGUCUCCUGUCGCAUGUGAGGGGUGAGAUCGAGGAACUCAGUGCGCGCCUCUGGCGUCGGGGCCUUUUG